Oncorhynchus keta (chum salmon) is the source of this 375-nucleotide long non-coding RNA. RefSeq lists it as uncharacterized. The transcript has 3 exons. Lineage: Eukaryota; Metazoa; Chordata; Actinopteri; Salmoniformes; Salmonidae. The record is from RefSeq and is a predicted model, not a curated record.
AUAUGUAAUUAUCUUAUUCGUUUGACUUCAGAUCAACCACAUCAAUUUCACAGAUGUAUUUUAUGAAUUCGUUCUACUGAGCCUUCUUGAAGGAAAAACAUCUCUUCCAACUUCUAGGCCUGGUACCUUCUAUUAUCUGCUCAUGGAAGUGAUGAUGAGGAUUCGCCCUCCUGGAGGAGCCUGGACAGAGUCUGCUGGGAACUUCUACCUCCUCAUUAAGGAUCAGAUGAAGGCGUGGUUGGACUCCAUCUUCAACCUCGAUGAGUCCAUCUAUGAAAGCCCAGAGAGGCUCUCGUGGCAGGUGAUGGAGAUUCUAGAAAUGCAGGUUGACUUCCUCCUGUCCAGCCUGGAUUAAGGGUCCCAAACUGAGCUGAG